UUUGCCAUGUUGGCCAGGCUGGGCUUGAACUCCUGACUUCUGGUGAUCUGCCCACCUCGGCCUCCCAAAGUGCUGGGAUUACAGGCGUGAGCCACCACGCCUGGCCAACAUUUUUUAUAAUUGCAGCAAGUCAGCAAGAACACAGAGGACACAAGAGGGUGUGAGUGAAUUGUCCUUCUGUCUGUGCUGUGGUGAGCAAAAGCAGUGGUCUCACAGUGAAAGUAGGAUGUGAGCUACUCUUCUAGGGGAGGGGAGUGUUUGUGAGGGAGUGGUUGUGACGUUUUUAUUACUUCUACCCAAAUUCCUCCAGCUACUCCCUCCUCAGAUUUUACGUUGUUCUUUUGCUUUAGAACGAAGGCCCUCAGCAUUCAGAUCCAGUCCAAGGGUUGGCAAAUUCUUUCUCUAAAGGCCCAGAUAGUGAAGAUGCCAGGCUCCACGGGCCACAGGCAAUCAUACAAUCUCUGUUGCAGUUCUUUGUUUCAUUUUACAACUCUUUAAAUGUGGAAAGCACCCAUUCCUAGCUCACUGCCUGGAAUGCGUGACCCUGAUCUAGGCAAAAGACUGUCUUCUGUCUGGUGAAAGAAACAAGUUGUUCAUUUAUUCUGCUAUGGGUCGUGGAUCUUUGUUUGCUUGUCUAUGCUUUGCUGGGUUUGCUGUGAAAUUACUUUUUGUACCCUUGGUGUUAUCAUGGAACAAUCCCAUCAUUUGAAGACUUGACUGGAACCCUGUAAAAGAGGACUUGUAUGGGUUAUCGUUGUUAUUGAAUCUGUAAUUCUAGAUGUAGCUAAAAAGCAAUUCCAUAAAAUACAAUGAGAUACACAGACACAUAUUAUUGAAGGAAGCCCCUGAAGCCUCCAAUGACAUUUCUGUUCUUCUUUCCUCUUCUCUGCCUUUUUCCUGUUUCUGCAGUGACUUGAACACUCAGUCAAGCUGUGACGGAAGAUCGCCACAUACAUGUUCUUUCCCCUGGAGCUGGACAUGGCCCCUUUCAUGGCCUCCAGGUCUAGGCGGGGGUUUUGGCCUGUUCUGUGUCUGGAGGGGCUGUGGUCAGGACAGGAACCCAGCUCGGAGCUCCUGUGAUAAGAUGACUGUUGAUAUUAAUAUAAACCCCACCUUCCAAAAACCUAUUUAUCCUGAUCUUAAGAUAAGACACACUUUAAUGAGCUGUUUUUGCCAGAUAUACUGAUUUUACUUUGAAUGUUUCUCUAACAAUUUUUGAUCCACUUUCAAACUGGCAAAGUCAGGUGGGAUCACAGCGAGAAGUCAGCAUUUUAAUUGGUAGAACAGGUGUUGAAAUACAGACAGACAUCGUUGCUUUUGCAGUUGUAGAUUGCAUUUUCCUUUUCAGAUCUGUAAUAUCGUGGGACCCUUGGAAUUUAAGCCUCCAGAAUACCAUGCUGCCCACUAAUGUGUGAGACACAUAUGAGUUUCCUACAGAUCUGUGACAAACGACCAAAAAGUUGGAAGCUUAGAACCACAGAAAUUAAUUUUCUCACAGUUCUAGAGGUUGGAAAUCUGAAAUCAAGGGGUUGGCAGGGCCCCACUUCCUACAAAGGGUCUAGGGGGAUUCCAUUCCUCACUGCCUCCAGCUGCCGUUGGUUCCAUAUGUACCUUCUGUGGCCAUGUCUCUUCCCUGGCUUCCUGGUCACACGGCCGGCUCCUCUGAGUGUGUGUCCAAUCUCCCUCUGCUUCUCUGUCAGGAGCAGUGGUCAUUUGGGGCCCAGGCAGAUCAUUCCAGGAGUAUCUCAUCUCGACAUCCUUACCUUGAUUCCAGCUGCAAAGACUGUUUUCACAAAUGAGGUCCCAGUCUCAGGUUCUGAGGGUUGAGACGUGGAUGUUAUGAUUUGGAGGAUGUUGUUUUUAGAGGGCCACUGUCCUAGCGCCAGCACUGUGGAAAGCAUGUUGCCUUUGGUUAGUUAUUGGCUUCUUCCUGGUGUCCUUUCUCAUGGCUGUCCCACCCGUCUUGUGGCACACAGAUGACCUCUUGAAUAAAACAAGAUCACCAGAGUCAGAGCUCCGUGUUGUCAGCCUGACCACGAUUCAUGUACUGAGGGAGGUGAUAGUACUGUUGCUAAGGGCAGGGUCACAAAGAUCUUGUGUUUUCAGCCAACCACAACCAUGGGAAAACACAGUAAAUAACACCUGGGACUUCCUGUUCCCAGUACCCGUGUCUCCCCCAUCUCACCAGGAGAGGUGCUGGUCAUGAAAUAAUGAGCAGCAAUCUUUGCCCCUUUUGAGGAAGCAGCUGUUUAGGUUGUGGAAUGGAUUUGACUUACGCUUUUCAAACAAACCCUUUACAUGUGGGAGGAAGAGUGCCCUCGCCAUCUCUGUGUCACAAACCAAACUCACGUUUGUCCCAGAUCCAACUCCCAUCACCAAACCCAUUCAGGACCCAUCUUGGGAGGGCCAGGGGCCAGGACAGGUGACUCGGGGACCCAGGUGUGCUCUGCCUUGGUAUCCUCACAAAAUGUGGGGUGAUUUCUACCUGAAACAUGAAGUGCACCCCAGUACAGUGUCUGCGUGGUCAGGCCUGGAUAAGUGUUGGUAUCAUGAGAGCCUUGUGUCUCUGUGUCUGAUGAUUUUGAAUGAUGCUGAAUUCUGCUGUUGUUUGUUAUAGCAAAGAGAGCAGGAUGAAUGGACAGUCCCAGCAGCCCAUGGACAGUCUCAAUAACAACAAGUAAGAGGUGCUCAGCGGUGUGGGUGUCAGGGGCCUCUGGCGGAGAGCCAGCGAUGGGCCCCUGUCUGCCCUGCAGGGCGCCCAGCAGAGCUCCUGCCACUUACCAGCUUCCCGCCUGGCUGCCCGUGGCUCUGCUAGGAGAUGCUGCUCCAUGCAGGGCCACAGAUGCUCCCUCCUAUUGGAGGAGCCCAUCUCAAUUCCUGGCCUCUGGGAGAAGGGAGGUUCCAUCUGGAAAGCUCAGUGUCCACUCUUCUUGCCUUGGGGUUGUAGAAAGAAUGAAAGGCUGGGAUGUUCCAGGAGUCCCGCUGCUGACUGCAGUCACCACUCCCACUAGAUGCGGUUCCAGGAAGCAGCUGGACCUGGGUGAGAGCCAAGCGGGGUGACCAGGCUCUCCUUGUCCCUGUAGCCUCCUGUGCAUCAGCCUGAGUCCCUGGGGAUUGACAGCCAGGCCAACAGGCCUCCCCUCCCUGCCCGGGCUGCCUGGUUGCUGACGGUGAUGAGUGACAGCAUUGAGUCCGCUGCGCUCCCUCUCCCAGGCUGCCUGGUUUCUGGCGGUGGUGCGUGACAGCAUUGAGUCCGCUGUGCUCCAUCUCCUUUCUCCUGCAUUACGUUUUCCUUAUUUGCUGACAUUAACCAUCAAAAGACCUUGGAGAGUGGCCACCACACCAGCUUUAUCCCGCAGCACAAAGACCAGUGGUUCAAGUGUGAUGAUGCCAUUAUCACCAAGGCCAGCAUCAAGGACGUGCUGGACAGCAAAGUUUGCAUCCUGUGGGGUGGGAGGAAGGCCCUGGGGCAGGGGCGGCCCCGUGGUGGCAGUGCUGCUUCCCCUCUGGUAUAGCUGAGACCAACCCUCAUGUGAGCAUAGAACUGCUCGAAGGUGUUGACCUUCAUUUGCUGAAGUAUGAGGGCCUGCUCUGGAUAGGAUGCCAGCCCUGACGAGCUCACAGGAGGGAGAGAAGGUGCCUGACUGAAGGCCCUCUCUGGAGCUGUUCCCUUAAUGCAGAGGACAUCCGGGCAGUUGUUUUUCUAACUGCAUGACCUGGACACAUCAGUUUUUUUGUCAGCUCCUCUCUUCUUUCCCAGUUUCAUUCUUUCAUGGCACAGAAACCCGUUGACCCUCCAGGGAUCAAGGGGACCCCAGCUGUCAGGAACUCCCUGAGGCCUUUGCACUUCACAUUCAGAGCAACACGGACGCCCUCUUGAGAAGUUGCAUUUGGAAGGCUCUGUGGUAUACUGGAUAGCCUUCAGGGCAACAAGGUGGAUAUGGACUGGACCCCCGUGAUCCUUGACAACAGCAGGCCCCACACAAGGGCAGGGCUGUCACGGGUGGGAGAGAGGCUGUGUGAGGUCGGGUGAGGCAAUGGGUGACUUCGUGGCAGGUGGGGGUGGUGGUCAAGCUGUGGUGAUGGGCAGGGCCAGUGCCACCAGCCAGCUACACACCUGUUCCUCCUUGGGGACUGAAAAGCCAAAACCUUCCAGCCAUGAAAUCAGGCCUGUCAGACCUGUGCAGAGUGCAGAGCAUGCGUGUUCUUUCCCGUCUUAGGAAUUAGAUGCGGGCAUCCUCCCUCUCUCUGCCUCUGCAGGUACUUGCUGUUCGAUCACAGUUCCUGGAAUAGAGUAGACUUAUCUGCAACUGGUCAGAAAAAAUGAAGGCAAUGCAUUGGCAAGCCUCACCAAGUGAUACCCCAUCCACCUCCCACCUCCCGGCCUGGUGACACCGUCUCCCAUGCAGAUGUGGCCCCUCUGCACCUGGGACCCGUGAAGUCAGGAUAGACCACAUGGAUGGGGAGGCUCCAGGAACUGCAGUGAAGAUGGAUCAGAAUUCAAGAGGAAGCAUGCUUUAAAACAAGAAUUAUCAGAGAAGUAGGGAUGGGCCCAGAUUUUCAGAAGAGGCUCUACAUGACCAAGUUCUGCUGUUUGUGUGACAGUGCCAUAAAGAUCUCUUUUGGGGGCAAGAGCUCUCUUUUAAUCCGGAACAAAUCUAAUGAAAAAGAGAGUUGACUGAAGUUGGCCUGCAGGAUUGCAAGCCGGGUAGCGCCUUUCUUGAAGGCUUGCCACCUCGGGCCACCCUGGUUUACGGUGAUGUCCUCUGAAGAGUGUGGAAAGCAGGUGUGAGGGCCUUGGGUCUUUCUGGUAGCUGCUGGGGUUUGGCCAAACCUUGCCUCCCCACGUCCCCCUGGGCCCCUUCCUGUCUCCAUUUGGAUUCAGGGGUGGCUGUUGCUCUGAGAACACUGGAACUGGGAAGAGAGAUGGAGCUACAUGCAUUCCUGGUGGUCAUUAUUCUAAACUUUUGUAUCCAAGUUAAUCCGCUAUUCACUGUGACAUUGCCGUUUCUAGGUUCAGGAAAUCUCUCCUUUUAGCUCCCGAUCGGGCUAUGAAAUUCAGGAAACCUGUUCUCCUGUUGCCUAGUAAUCACCUCACGUAGGUGUAAAUUGUGACAAAGUGUAUCUGACCACUUAGGGACCCCCUCGAUGACCCCCCCCAACACAUUCCCACCAGUGUAUUAAAAAUCGCCUACAUGUCUGAGAUGCUGGCUGUCCUUUCAGUACUUCACAGGAAGUCAAAUGGGAUUUCCCGCUUCGGAUGCCUGAAGGGAAUGCUUUGAGGUGGGUGAUGUGUUGGGAGUGUGGGUGGCCUCCCUUCAGCCCCGGGGCUCUCCAUGGGGCUGGGCUCCCUGGCAGGCACUGGAACCUUCCUGGAUGUUCCCUCUUGUGCCAGCACCACUGCGACAUAUAGACCCGAGAGCUGUUGUAUUUUGGCUUGGUGUGUAUGCUUUUCAUGGUGUAAAAUUGCUUUUGACAGUUUGACUGCUUUAUUUACUGUAAGUUU
This is a long non-coding RNA of Piliocolobus tephrosceles (Ugandan red Colobus), 5506 nucleotides long. RefSeq lists it as uncharacterized. The transcript is spliced from 2 exons. Lineage: Eukaryota; Metazoa; Chordata; Mammalia; Primates; Cercopithecidae. The record is from RefSeq and is a predicted model, not a curated record.